Molecule: ribosomal RNA, 382 nt
Filed under: uncultured eukaryote
Lineage: Eukaryota
Description: partial 18S ribosomal RNA
Rfam family: Eukaryotic small subunit ribosomal RNA
Source: RNAcentral
CAAUAGCGUAUAUUAAAGUUGUUGCAGUUAAAAAGCUCGUAGUUGGAUUUCUGGUGGGAGCGAUCGGUCUGGCGCUUAGCGCGAGUACUUGCAUCGUCUCCGGCCAUCCUUGGGGAGAGUCUGUCUGGCAUUAGUUGUCGGGCAGAGGAUCCUCAUCGUUUACUGUGAAAAAAUUAGAGUGUUCAAAGCAGGCUUAUGCCGUUGAAUAUAUUAGCAUGGAAUAAUAAGAUAGGACUUUGGUACUAUUUUGUUGGUUUGCGCACCAAAGUAAUGAUUAAUAGGGACAGUUGGGGGUAUUCGUAUUCCGUUGUCAGAGGUGAAAUUCUUGGAUUUACGGAAGACGAACUACUGCGAAAGCAUUUACCAAGGAUGUUUUCAUUAA